GAUGGACUCGCGUCUGAUUAGUUAGUUGGUGAGUUAAUGGCUCACCAAGGCGACGAUCAGUAGCCGACCUGAGAGGGUGACCGGCCACAUUGGGACUGAGACACGGCCCAAACUCCUACGGGAGGCAGCAGUGGGGAAUAUUGCACAAUGGGGGAAACCCUGAUGCAGCGACGCCGCGUGAAGGAUGAAGUAUUUCGGUAUGUAAACUUCUAUCAGCAGGGAAGAAAAUGACGGUACCUGACUAAGAAGCCCCGGCUAAUUACGUGCCAGCAGCCGCGGUAAUACGUAAGGGGCAAGCGUUAUCCGGAUUUACUGGGUGUAAAGGGAGCGUAGACGGCUGUGUAAGUCAGAUGUGAAAACUUGGGGCUCAACCCCAAGAGUGCAUUUGAAACUAUGCAGCUAGAGUGUCGGAGAGGUAAGUGGAAUUCCUAGUGUAGCGGUGAAAUGCGUAGAUAUUAGGAGGAACACCAGUGGCGAAGGCGACUUACUGGACGAUGACUGACGUUGAGGCUCGAAAGCGUGGGGAGCAAACAGGAUUAGAUACCCUGGUAGUCCACGCC
This 560-nucleotide ribosomal RNA is filed under the name uncultured bacterium. Its description in RNAcentral is "bacterial SSU rRNA". It matches the Rfam family "Bacterial small subunit ribosomal RNA", at positions 224 to 801 of the family's 1533-position model. The record is from RNAcentral.